CCCCUCGAGAUGAGAUUUCCCAACUUCGGUUAUAAGAUCCCUCGAAGAUGACGAGGUAAAUAGGUUCGAGGUGAAAGCGUAGUGAUACGUGGAGCUGACGAAUACUAAUCGAUCGAAGACUUAAUCAAAUU
RNAcentral lists this ribosomal RNA (131 nucleotides) under Staphylococcus schleiferi. RNAcentral describes it as "partial 23S ribosomal RNA". It matches the Rfam family "Bacterial large subunit ribosomal RNA", at positions 2795 to 2925 of the family's 2925-position model. Lineage: Bacteria; Bacillati; Bacillota; Bacilli; Caryophanales; Staphylococcaceae. The record is from RNAcentral.